RNAcentral lists this ribosomal RNA (253 nucleotides) under uncultured bacterium. RNAcentral's name for it is "partial 16S ribosomal RNA". It matches the Rfam family "Bacterial small subunit ribosomal RNA", at positions 524 to 776 of the family's 1533-position model. The record is from RNAcentral.
UACGGAGGGUGCGAGCGUUGUCCGGAAUUACUGGGCGUAAAGCGCACGUAGGCGGACUCUUAAGUCAGGGGUGAAAUCCCCCGGCUUAACCUGGGAACUGCGUCUGAUACUGGGAGGCUUGAGUAUGGGAGAGGGAUGUAGAAUUCCAGGUGUAGCGGUGAAAUGCGUAGAUAUCUGGAGGAAUACCGGUGGCGAAGGCGGCAUCCUGGACCAUUACUGACGCUGAGGCGCGAAAGCUAGGGGAGCAAACGGG